UAAUUAUGAAAUCAAUCGCUGCAUUAAUUUAAAAAAAAAUUAAAAUUUUAUCAAGAUUUUGUUAGACUGUUUCCAACAUAUUUUGUUAUAAGUAAAAAUAAAAUUUAAAUUUGCAGUUAAAAUUUAUUUAUUAUUAUCUAUAUAAUUUAUAAUAUUUUCUCAAAAUGUUAUAUAUUAAAUAGAUUAACUUAAAUAAUCAAAUAGAUGUUAUUGAUGAAAUAUACCUAGUAUGAUUUUUUUAUGGUAUUUCUUUUAAUAAAGAAGAUAUAUAAUAUAAUUAUAAAAUUUUAAAAUAGCAUACAAUUUUAUUUAAUUUUUUUUAUAAUAAAAUCUUAUUUAAAUUAAUGUAUAAUAGUAUAUAUUAUUAAUUAUGAAAUUAAUCAAUAGUAUUAAUUUGAAUAAAAUAUUUUUCAUUUUUAGGAAGAUCUUGUUAGAUUUUUUCUCAAUAUUUUGUUAUAACUAAAAAUAAAAUUUAAAUUUACAGUUAAAAUUGAUUUAUUAUUAAUAUCUUUAUAUAUUUAAUAGAUUAAUGUAAAUAAUUAAAUAAAUCUAAUUAAUGAAAUGAACCUAAUAAAACUAGUAUGACUUUUUAUGGUAGAUAAAAAUGGUACUUCUCUUUUAAUAGAGAAGAUAUAUACUAGAAAAGGUUGAACGAUGAAUUUGUAAAUCUAAGAGUACAUCGAGAGUGAUAGGCUGAUAUCAUUGUGACAAGAACAUGUUACUGGAAUUGUAUGAUAAAUACACAUAACACAGAGCAUACAACAAAGCCGACGAGUUAUACUAACCCGCGGAGUCCAAAGCCUACGGAUAAAAAAUAAUACUUGGAGACAAAAUACGUGAUAAUUUGGAAGCUUAAAUUCAAUGCUAAAAUAAAAGCUAGCAACAAAAGUGAAGAAGAUGAUGGAAACUCCAUAACAACAAAAGACUCUAAUUCCAAAACGGCUCUUUGAUAUAGUGAAAUCGAACUAGAGACCUUCCAUAGUGCAUAGCAAGCGGAUUAAGCAAAGAACCAAAGCUUAGAUAGACAACUACUCUUGUGACUUGUCGUGUAAAUAUUUGCAUCUUUUCAUGUGCAUCAAUAUUACACCAAUAUUUAUACUCCAAAUUAUUUCUUUGAAGUUUGAACACUCUUAUUGCUUUUGUUUGGAAGGGACUGAAACGAAAAACAACCCAAAUUUGACGGUGCGCCACAACACAAUUCUAUCUUAUUGAAUCAAUCUCUAUAAUGGGCUUUAUCAAUCGUAGGCCCAUUAUUCGCCAAGCCCAUUCGUGUCUCCCAAAACCUGAACCCUGGGUUUUGUCCAAACGCCUCCACCUUUGGCAAAAAUCUCCGCUUUCUUACUACAAGAAAACUUGUUUAUAGCCACGACUCAGCCACAAACAUUUUAUGGCGAGAGAAAUAUAGCCACAAAAUAUCCGUAGAAUAACUACAACAAAUUUUUGUGGCUAUUAUGUAGCUUUUUGUCACUAUUUAGCUAUAAAAUAUGUUUUGUAGCUAUUUAAAGACACAUAGCCACAAUUAGCUACAAUAUAAAUUGUGGAAGUAAAUAUCCACAAUUUUCCACGGUAUAAUGUGUAGGCAAUUUAGCCACAACAGUUUCCGUAGCUAUCCGAAGAAAUGAAAUUUUAAAAUAUUUAAAUUAAUUACAAACUU
Molecule: long non-coding RNA, 1654 nt
Organism: Brassica rapa (field mustard)
Lineage: Eukaryota; Viridiplantae; Streptophyta; Magnoliopsida; Brassicales; Brassicaceae
Source: RefSeq, a predicted model, not a curated record